This 411-nucleotide ribosomal RNA is filed under the name uncultured methanogenic archaeon. Its description in RNAcentral is "bacterial SSU rRNA". It matches the Rfam family "Archaeal small subunit ribosomal RNA", at positions 33 to 452 of the family's 1478-position model. Lineage: Archaea; Methanobacteriati; Methanobacteriota. The record is from RNAcentral.
GGGGGCGGGUUGAAGGGUCGAUUAGCAUGCGAGUCGAGAGGGUGCGGUCUCGGCGUACUGCUCAGAAUGGACCCCCUCCCCUAGGGAAGGGGAUAACCCCGGGAAACGGGAUAAUACCCUAUAGAUUACAGAUGCUGGAAUGCCCUGUAAUCCAAAGUUCCGACGCCCUAGGAUGGAUCUGCGGCCGAUUAGGUUGUUGUUGGGGUAAUGGCCCAACAAGCCCGUAAUCGGUACGGGUUGUGGGAGCAAGAGCCCGGAGUUGGAUUCUGAGACACGAAUCCAGGCCCUGCGGGGCGCAGCAGGCGCGAAAACUUUACAAUGCGGGCAACCGUGAUAAGGGAACCUCGAGUGCCUGUAAAUGCAGGCUGUUCAGGUGCCUAAAACACACCUGAAGAAAGGGCCGGGCAAGAC